This 3497-nucleotide long non-coding RNA is filed under the name Elaeis guineensis (African oil palm). RNAcentral's name for it is "long non-coding RNA (EGUI_LNC031127)". Lineage: Eukaryota; Viridiplantae; Streptophyta; Magnoliopsida; Arecales; Arecaceae. The record is from RNAcentral.
CGAAAGAAACAACCCGAACCCCAGGCUGAGUCCCCAUCAAACUCUCUCAAUGCUCAAGCUGGGGGUGAUUUCCAGUGCUGGUUGAUGGUUGGCAAGUAAUCAGCUUGUGGUUCUAAUAUUUUCAUCCUUUAGUCUGCUUUUGUUGCGGGGAGACUGAAAUGAUGCAAUGGUGCUACUGGGUUCAAUACUUCCGGAAAUCUGGCAACAUAAAGAGGUAUCUGAACAGUUCGUUUUGGUUCCUAAUAUUAAAAACGGUCAACAGUGUUUUUAUUUACUUCAAAUGUUUGUUAACAGCUGUCGCUGGAUGCGAAUAUUAAUGCCGGCAACAAUCUCCUCUUUUUUUUUUUUUGUUGAAAAUUUUGAGGUUGUUUUAACAGCUGUGUCAAUGCCAAUAUGGUAAUCAGUUUCCCUUUUUAUUUCAUAUGCAUCCUUAUUGCGUACUGAGCUUUGUUCCAAGCCAAUUUAUCCAGAGUGAGUUAGUGUAUGCAGCUUCUAUAUCCAUUUCUGGAGUUGAGGUGGUGUUCAACUUGUUUGCCGUGGAGUUUGUUCCUAGGCCAAAGGGAGCUGACUUGCAAUGCGACAUUUUCUUCUUUAUUUUGUCGUUCGAGAUGCCAUCUACCCAUGACAAAUAAAUCUUGAUUUUUGUCAGAAGUUAUAUCGGGUCCUCGGAUCCUGAAAAAUAUAUCUUGUUCGUGUAAGAUAGCUGUGGUCGAAGUCAUAUUGUUCAAGAAUAGAUAUGUUCAGUAAUAAUGGAGACUACCUUUGGACCCGAACCUGGCUCCCGCCCGGACUUUUGAUUGGAUCUCGAACAUCAUGGCUAUUCUUCUUAAAAAUAUUAAAAAAUAUUUAAAAUAUUAAAUAUGAACAAUAAAAUAUUGUUAUCAAUCUAUAAUAUAUCUAUUAUCCCAUUAAGCUCAUAUAUGAACAACAACCAUCAAUUCAUUCAACAAAUACAUCAAAUCUAAAUAAAUAACACGACAAAAAUAAAAAAUGGGUCGGGCUUAAAUCCCGAAUCUCUGGCCUAGCCCGUUUAUUAAAUGGGUUUAUUUUUCAGGCUCUACCAAUCAGUGGGUCUUCAAAGCUUGGGCCCAAACUUGGCCAAAAAGCUUCGAGCUUGAAUAAGUCUGACAAGUUGUCUGACCUCUACAGCUUGUGACUUCACUUAGCUCUGCCAUGGAGUUUACAUUUGCUUAGGGUAUUGUUAGCAAGAAAGAAUUGAAUCUUUAUCAUUGUUGACAGUCUAGCUUGUCCUGAUUUUCGUCCAUGGCCUUUUCCAAUUUAGGUAAUAGUCACGAAUGAUCUUUCCUAAUUUAGGGGAUAACCAAGAAUGGGUUGUCAUCAUCUUUUGUAAAGAAUGAAAAUCAUGUAUAAAAAGAGGAGGAUUCCUAAGACUGAAAGUAAGAAAGAAAGAAAAAAGAAUAAAAUCUUGUUUCACUUUCUCUCGUAUAUCUCUUUUUCCUUUUUCAACUUGGUAUCAGAGCCUAUUUAUCAUCCUAUUACCAAAGCCUUCACAAAGGCUUCAUCCCCUUCAUCCCCUUACCCACCACCGGUGUUCAUCGAAAGAUGGCCAUCCCCAUUCCGUCAUUGUGCCAACCAUCAUUACCGCCGCAGAGCACCACCACCACUGCCGUCUCCCUCCCAAAUCGCUGCCUGCCCCUCCACGCACACAGCCGCCUCACAGAUCGCAAUCACCUCUUCCCUCACCAUGCUGAUCCUCUCCUUGUCUGCACAGAUCACAGCACUCGCUCCGCUGCCCCCUUCCUCAUCUGCCAUUAGUGCCCACAUGGCCAUCGCCACCACCCCUGCCCUCACCAUCAGCACUCACAGCCAUCAACCCACACCAUCACCACCUUCCUUUUCCGUGACGCCCUCGUCCGCUGCUUCGCUGCCUCAUCCCACCACAGCCGCCCGCCAAUGACAUCGAGCCCGAGAUCAAGGGGGAUGCCGAGUCCGCGAUCCGAGGGUGGUACCUUCGAGUAAGAAGGAAUUUCUCCUAAAAAAAAAUAGAGGAUGAUCUUUUGAGCAUAUUUGAAAGUGCCAGAUGGUUUUAUUGAAGAAGAGUUUGAGAAAACAAUCGGUGAGGUGGUCUGCACCUCUAUCUCUCGGACUGUGAUAGACAAUCCUUCUCUCUUGAUUAGCUCAGUCCGACUUGAUGGACCUCUCACCUAUCUUAUGUGGUCUCGAAAUGUGUGGCUAUACAUCAAAGCUCACAGAUUUGAAGAUUUUUUUACUGGGACUACAGUUAAGCCACAAUCAGGAGAUACAGCAAUUUUGAAAUGGGAAUCGGAAAAUUCUCUUGUGAUUGCUUGGCUUUUCAACUCCAUGAUGCUCUUUGUUGCUCAAGAUAUGUCAUUUUUUGAAACCACCAUGAAAAUUUGGAAGGCUGCUGCCCAAACUUAUUCAUAAUAUGGUAAUACAGCUUAAGCUUUUGAGCUCAAAUGCAAGAUGCAUACACUUAGAUAGGGAGAACUCUCUAUCACCAUUUAUAUGGUGGAACUCCAGCGUAUGUAGUUCAAGCAAGAGUUUUGUCAUCCCUUCAAAGCUUGUUAUUCAAAAGAUGUUGUUACAUUCAAAAAAUACACUGAUGAGGAGCGAAUCUUUGAUUUUCUUGCUGAACUCAAUGACGAAUUUAACCCAAUCAGAGUUCAGAUUCUGAAUUGGAGUACAGAUAUGUCUCUUUUUGAAUAGGUUUUCUCUCUGAUUCUGAGUGAAGAGACUCACCGUCGCAUGAUGAUUGCUAUAGAUACUGUCCACUUUGCUAUGGUUGUUCAGCCCCAGUCACAAUCUCGACAAUCUCAUGGAUGUGGUGGUCGAGACAUGCGGAUAUGCUCCCAUUGCAAUAAAUCGGGGCAUGUUCAUGAUACUUGUUGGCAGCUGCAUGGUCAUCAAGGAGGAGGAUGUUCUGGUGUAGCUAUUGAUCAUCCUCAGGCCACACUUUUUGAGCACACAAAGAGAGGUGUUUCGUCUACUAUGGCAUUGACUCCUCCACCUACUGAUGCUGGCAGUUCAUUAUCUAUUGAUGAGAUGCUCCACUGAAUUAUGGACUGACUUAAUGUUUCUUUUAGCAGUGCUCCUUCUACUAAUGGUUUGCCUAGCAAUUCUUCCAGUUCUCCUUCUAUUUUUUAUUCUCAUUUUGCACAAUCCCAUUUCUCUCAUAUUAAGUCUAGUGCAUUAAACCUUGACAAUUUUAACUCUUCCAUUAGUACUUCUAAGAUGUGAGUCAUAUACUCUGGUGCCACUAUGCAUAUGACUGGUAAUUCUGAUAUAUUUAUAUCUUAUUCAUUGUGUUCUGACAAAGUAUGUAUAGCUGAUGGCUCCUUUCGACCUGUGUCCGGAAAGGGAUCCAUCAACUAUACACCGAUCAUAAAUCUUUCUUCUGCUUUGCAUAUCCCUAAUUUUUCUACUAAUCUAUUGUCUAUCCAUUCUAUUAUAAAUGAUCUAAAUUAUAAAGUUACAUUCUUUUCUACUUAUUGUAUUUUUCAGUAACUGACAACGGG